UCCAUUGAUAAUUCUUCUUGACAAAAUGUGGGUCUGAUUCAAAAGAUCCCACCAGAAAAGGCUUGGAAGCCCAGUUGCCAGCUGAAAGACCUAAGGAAGAAGGAAAGGAUGUUACCUAUUCCAGCAGAAGACCAGUGAAGGACACACAACCUGUAUGCCCUUUCUGUGUAUGAAGCUGGAAUUUCUCCCCUCACCAUGGAAGAACAAUGCUUAUUUCACGUCUGUGUAUUUUCAGGCCUGGUUUGACCAAAAGUUGGCAUACUUAGCCUAGACACGUGUUUCUGUCAGAAGUUUGUGAAUCUCUAGCAGAUUUUAUGAUCAUCUAUUUUUCAUGUGUGCAGAAAAAGCACACAUGGCUUCACUCAAGUGCACAGGCAAUAGGGAGCUCUUUGCCUACAUGCAGUUUUACAGAUUUUAUACAGCUUUCAGCUAAAUCACAUAUCUCCAUGCAAAGUAUGCCACUCUUGGAUAUCACAUGGAUUUUUAAUGCUCUGAGGGAUCCUUUGGGUCUAUAAACAACAAGUAGAUUACAUUCAUCUACAUCAUGACAGACUUUCCCCCCUUCUUGCUUGUGAGACAAAAUAUGGCUCUUGUUCUUCCCUGGAACUAGUAUGGAAUCCAAGCACAACUCAUGUACAGUUAUGAGAAAACCCUGCCAUAUUUUUCAUUGUAAUUAACUGCUUCGGAGCAAGACUUCUCAUGUAUAAAGAUGAAGAAAGGUCUCAGCUUUGCCUGAAAGACAAGUUGCCUUUCAGCAAUGUCUCACACUUUGAGUUUUGACUGAAACAUUCCACUGCUUUGGUGACCUGUUGUGCCAAAAAGCUGCCUUGUGUUACGCUUCACUUUCAGCUGAAUUUGCCAGCGCAUGCCAAGGGACAGAACAAAGUAUUGCAAUUUAUACUGGAACACUAUUUUGUGUUGCUCCACACAUGAAAUCGAUGUCAGUAAAAAGUGCACAAAGGGCAUGGAAAACGUAAAUAAAUACUGUGAUCCUUUUACCUUCAGUUUUAAAUAAAUGGAUUGAAAUGCAUGGAUCCUAAAGAUUUAUGAAUCCGUUUAUAGUCCAUUCUGGAGUUUUAACAUUUCAUGCAGCUUGUAGGAGGGAGUGUAUUAUUUAUAAAAAGUCAUGGUUAUUCAGCAGUGUUUAUUUCUGAAGAGCAACAAAAUACCUUCAAGGGGAAGAAGAAAUUCAUAACUCUGGUUUACUACCAGGGUUAGCCACUUAAAAGUCUUUUCUCAUGACUGAUUUACAAAGACCUUUGCUCUUCUGAGCAUGUUUGGAACACUGGACAUUUUGCCACCAGCAGUAGGAAUCACCUCCAUCUCUCAGGACAGACAGCACUGCAAUAGAUUCAGAGAGGUGGUGGUGGGGGAACCUUUACUGUUGGGGAGAUAUUUGAACUUUACUUUUGCUGCCCUUUUCCCAGCACAGUAUUGAAUGGAAAUUCAGAAGUAGGGCCUGCAGGGAGAAAAUCCACAGCAGCUAUUCACAGAUACCAUUUCUGUGUGACACCAGUUUCUUGGCCAUGUGAACAAUUUCUUCCGUCUGAUGAAAUGUAACAUCCAUUUCUUGUUUUCAUUUUCAGUCUUUGGGCUCCUUUGCCCAAAGCUGUUUAUAAGACAAAGUGCCUGAAAGGAUUAUAAUGUAAACAUAAGUGCAGCCUUAGCAUACCUUUGGUCUUUCUAUCUACUUUACCUCAUUGGAAUUGCAGUGAUUGCUUUUCUUCCUAGCAGGUAAUAAAUCAGUUUCAAUGAAAAAGAAAAAGAACUCAGACAUAAACCAGUAUUUUCAAAUAGUGUUUCUCAGUCAACUUUUAUCUUCACCCUCUGUGAAAGUGGAGCUUGCAGAAGUUGCAUUUGGCUCACCUCAACUGACCACACUGUAUCCUUCUAGCUAUGAAAAAUUCCUCAAGCCACCAAGGGAAGUUCAUAGUUUAACUGAACAAACCCCAGUCUGACCUGUCCCUCCUGUCUCUGCUUGGCAGUGCUGUCUACAGAAACACCUGAACUGUGUCUAUGUGUAGAGCAGAGAGCCCAGCCACAGACAGAUGCAGCACUGCUCAUCAUAGGAGCCAUUUCUGGCUUGUCUCCAGCAGAGCCUUGAGGCCAGGUGGAUGGUGCUGCUCAGGGAUAAGAGGGAGACUCUCUGUGGUUAAUAGCUCCUGAUAGGUUUUAUUUCCAUGGAUUUUCCAUGAACCACAUGAACAUAUGGCAGCCAGGAGGACCUGUGGUCACGAGCUUCAUGAGCCGUGUGAGAAGGUAACUUUCCUAAACUCAGCACCUGCUAACAUAAUUUGAUACUCCUACUGCAUGCAUUAUGAAACAAUAAACAAUCAUUUUGUAUUCAGCACCUUGUGCCAGCCCUUAUCUGUAAACCCUGUUCUGUGUCUUCUGAUAUAUUGCUAAAUCAUUCUAACAGAUAACAUUCUGCCCAUGCUUUCCUUUGAGCAGGGAUGGAGAUCUGGCACCUGUGUCCCUGCUCAUGAGAGGCAUCAAUGGGCAGUGUCUGACCACUGCAUGCACUGCCAGCAGGAGUGUCCCUCCCACAGUCCUGAGUGUCCCUGCUGCUCUGAGCACAUGGCAUGGGUACAGUGUGUUCCCAAAGACACUGUUACCUGUUAAACACAAGGCUCUGGGAACUAAAGGGCACCUGUCCACCCCAGGAAAAUAUUGGGAUAAGUUAACUGCUCAUGGUAUCCUGCCAAAGUGGUGACCAGAGUGGUGGUGUGGUCCUGUGCACUAGCUGGUGAGAGCCUGGUGGACAGCCUUCAGCUGGCCUGUCUCAGCUCAGAGAGUGAAGGGUCAUGGCAGCAUUGCCAGCUCUCCCUGGGAAUGGAGCAUCAAUGAAAAUUAGGUAAAACAGAAAAAACACUAAGGCUCUUGAAGGAUUUGCAUAAAAAGGAUUUGCAGCUGGAUCAGAAGUCAAAAUCCUUGGAAAUUUUUGCAUACACACACACUCAUACCUGCACACAUGCAUGAAACAUAAUGCUUUAGAUAUUAUGAAAUCAGAUUCCACAUCUGAGAAGGGAGAGGCCUGGAAGACCUACGGUUUUGUAAAACAUCAUUUGGCACUUUCCAUCUCAGGAUCUGAAAGGGAUGUUUUGGCAAUGCUGACAUUGUACACAGCAGGCUCCAACAGCAAGCACAGGAAAAUUAAUAUUGCUUCCCAUUUAAUGUAUGGCACCAAUACUUAGGAGGAGUUUCUUAGCAAGCCACACUAAUCUCCUAACUGAUUUGCAAGCUAUCACACAUGCAUUUAACUUUACCUUAAAUGAAACAAAACAGCAAUACAGUGAAGUAUUGUUGAAACCUGAAAACAGUUCACUCCACAUAAUUAAAUUUUAAUUCAAAAUGUCAUUGCUUAUGUAUGAUAGAAACAUUUUUUAUGAUCAGUCAGACAAUUUCUACAUAAUAGUUACCUUUAUUUGAAGGCAUAUUGACUCAAAACAGUAAAAAAUGCAAAUGAAGAUUCUUCACUAGCUAAAAUGAUGUCAAAUUAUAUAUACAAAUAGUAACAUAAAAGAAAAAAAAAAGAUUUGUCAAGUACAUCAAGUAAAGCUCUGGAAUAAUACAGAACUCCUUGCUGCCUUAAUCAUAAAGUUUAAUAGCUCCCAUUUAAAGAAAGAGGAAUUUAAGGCAGAGUGCAGUCCCAAAUACCACUCCCAUCUACUCUGAAAAUGGUGGCAGAGUAAUUUUUCAUGGGUCUGUGAUACAUGAACAGAAAGCACCCUGUGUAUUUGCUGCCUAACACACGAAAAGUGGAUUUUGCAUUUCAUAUUGGGACACUCAAACUGAAGGUGAGCAAGAUACUUCUGCAUUUGUAACAUCCACAGAAUUGCUCAUCCCUGUCCAUAACCUCUCAGCUGUGUUUUCCUCUUCUGUGAUCCAUGACUUGGCUGCCCCUGCCCUGUGAGGUUUCCAGGCACAGCACACACCCUGCUGUCCCACACUGCUGGGAGAAGUGAGACCCUCUGGCUCAAGCUGUGUUUAUUGAGUGCCCACUCUCCUCCUGCUGCAGCCCUGCUGGAGGAUCUCAAUCCCAGACGGGUGAGGCUGUGAGGAUAGGACUGGCAAAGGCUUUGGCUUCCUAAGGAAAUGGCACAUUCUGCCCAGAACACACCUCCACCAUUUGUUUUUCCUUUACUUCCUAAAACUUGCCCCAGCUUUGGUGCAAGGCAAUCAGCAUUAAGCUUCAUGCAGGAGAAAUACACAGCAAUUUGAGAAGUUCUCUGCAAUCCCCCGCCCUGCUUUAGCCACUGCCUCACUGCAGGCAGGUCAUGGAGGAGUCUGGUGCAAGAAGCACUCCGAGAGAUCCCCUGCAGAUGUUUUAUGAGCUUAGACCGCUCUAAAAUGGUUCUUGCUUCCACCAUAGCAGGCAGAUGUAAAGCCUGCUCUGUGCCAGCUCUGUGAGUGAGCAGGGUGUGUGGAUGUGCAAUAUGCUGAUAACAGACGAGGUGCCAGUAGAUGGCUCUCAAGAUAUGAGGCCUAUGGCUCGCACAGGGCUGAGCCACCUUCGUGCCUGGGGAGCACUGCUGCUGCAUGCCGGGAACAAAACAGCCACUCAGACUGCACCUGGGGACAGCACAGAACAGGGUGCCAUGCCACUGUGGCACCUUCUCCCCAGACAGGCCUAAAAAUAGCAAAGCUCUUAGCUUUGUUAGUUUUGAUAAUUCAAGGCAAAAAUGCACUCCUCACUAAAGCACGCUUGAAAUCUCCCUUUAAUUCUUUAAAUGAGAUUUAAGGGCUGUUUAAAUAGGCUGGGAAAAGCUGAGAUAAUGCUUCUGCAGGAGCCCUGGUAGUGUGUAAGCAGAGGUACUGCCAGUCCCAGGGGGGUUAUGUAGUUAAUAAGUCAGAUUUUCUUAACUAAACAGUUGAGCUAUGUCUAUUUAGAGUUGAUUUUCUCAAGCAUACAUGAACCAACACCCCUAAGGGGAGGGGGUCCAGGAGGGAUGCUCACAGUUAGAAAUUCUACAGAGGAUUGAAAUGAAUUUUUAGUACUGUGUAACUACAGCACAUAACAUUGAAUUGGGAGGAAGAGGAGAAGAGGAAGAGGAAGAGGAAGAGGAAGAGGAAGAGGAAGAGGAAGAGGAAGAGGAAGAGGAAGAGGAAGAGGAAGAGGAAGAGGAAGAGGAAGAGAAGAGCUCUCAUUCUCAGUUUAGACAGCAAUUGAUAUCUCAAGUCUAAAUUCAAAUGAAUGAAAUUAAAUGAAAAUUAAAUGAAUGAAUGAAAGUCACAUGAAUUGAGUAAAUAAAGAGAUAACAAAAGCAACCAAAUUCUUUUUGCCACCUAGUCAUUCUUAAAACAAGGAAGAGGGUUUGUACACCACAACUUUAUAUAGACAACUGGUCAUUUAGUGGAUGUACUAGAAAUUCUACUGGAAAUGUUAUUAAAUUUUUAAUUAAAUUUGGGUUUAUUGUUACUUUAAAUGCAAUUUUCCACAAAGCAUGUCCUGAGGCCUUUGCCAGUCAACUGUGAUACAUUUUCCUGGCCAGUAACCCCAGCCUAUAUAUCUUACACUCCUCCUCUUUCUUGGUUUCAUGUCAGGGACAGCUAGAAUGAGAGCUGACUAAAUAAUUAGCAAAGGGAAUACCACCUCUGUAUGUUUCUGUAGUCAUCAGGUUAGUAAGAAAACAAAACUAACUUUCAUAAUGUCUUUCCCUUUAGGUACCUGGCACUUUCCAGGAGCAAAGUAGGGAGAAAAUGUAAUUGCUAAAAUAUCACACAUUUAUUAUUAGACUAAUGAUACCUUUUUCUCUCCAUCUUGUCCCAUAAAGGCAUCUAUAGAAGAAAUGCAGGCUUGAAGUGUUUCACCCCCAUCAAGCAAUAGUAAGAUGAGCGUCAUUUAUUCCAUGGUACUCUCCAAAGCCUUGCAUGGAACUCUGCUCUCAGGUUUGAGAAGGAACUGUUGACCUCAAACGAUUUUAACUUACCCUCUGACACCAGUUGGUUCAAGAUAUGUAAUCAGCCUGGGAAGAACUAGAGGAAGAGCUCACAUCUUCAGAAGGAGGGCUCAGGAAGAGAAUCCAAAGCAUGUGAAGAGGCAGCAUCCCAGGACAGCUGGGAUUUUCACAGAACUGCUACUCUGCCUGCAGUUUGCUUUACAUGCCCUAUUGAUUGCAAUAAUAUACCCCCAGUAACUUUUCUCUUGAGAUUUAAUUAUAGAAUUAACAUCCCAAAUUUUCAAAAUUUCAACAGGCCUCCAAACAAAACCAUAGGAAGUAGGAAAAAUGCAUAUAUGAGGCAAUCAGCGGUUAAGAGCCACAGACAUAGGGAAUUGCAUCUAAUCCACUAAUUCCCAACAGCUGGAGAAAAGUCAUUACUUGUAGGCAAGGUAAGCCCCCAUGCCCUUUCAGAGCCACACUCGCUUUCAUGCACUCUUUCUGCAGGGAUGGGAUACAACAGCAGAACAGAGGUAGCUGUUCUGAUGGGGCACACACAUUACAAACUUAUGUCUUCAUAUGUAUAGUGUACAGGUUUUUUUCUAAUUUCCCCUCCCAAUUAAGUAAUUUUUCUUUAAAGCUCAGUAUUUUCAAUUGGUGGAAGUUCUGUUCUACUUAGUAUCACUUCACUUUCUCUUCAUUUUUCUGCAAUUCUCAAAGCAUCUCCCUUUCUGGGGAAAAAGAACCACCAAAAGCAACAACCAUAAAACCAAAACUCCCAAAUCUGAUAUGUCAAAUGCUAAAGUAAGGUUACUUCUAUUUAUCUAGAUGAAAAGAGAAUCACCCAUUUCAUAUACAGUAGGCACUCCAGGACAAAACCAGAAACUAAGUGGUUUACCUUUAUGUCUAGUCCUGGUCAUCUUACUGUUGUGCAGAGAAUAAUGAAAGACAACAAAGGCACUCUCAUACUGCCAGAUCACUUGACUUCUGUUUAAAUGCAUCCUUAAAGAUACAACUACCCCAAAUCUCAUCCCCAAGCAGGUCAACAGAAUACAGAGAUGGCAAAUAUCUAAGUGGCUCUUAGAAGAAUGUCCCUGGUGUUAUCCCUGAGCAACACUGUCUAUUACACUGCCAAACUAAUGAGGACCAAACCAGCAAAAAAUUCUGAGUGACAAAACAAAGUAUAUCUCCUAGCUCUGGAUGGGCCACUGAAUGAUCAUUCCUCUGCUCACAAAGUUUGGUUCCAAUUACACCUCUGAAUUGCUCAUUCCUUGAAGACAUCUGGUGUAAAUUGCUUUCUGAAAAGUAGCCACAAAUUUCACAAAGUUAUGCAGAUACAACAGCUGUUGUAUAUAUGCUCACCCAAAAGCGAGAAGUGGCAUUCUGCUUCUUCCCCAUCUUGGAACAUAAACUCACUUCUUUGCAUCUACUGUGCAAGCAGAAUGUGGGUUUUUUGUUGUUGUUGGAUUUGGGUUUUUUUUUGCUUUUUUUUGUUCUAUUUUGUAGGUUUUGUUCUUCCCCCCACCCCUCCCCCUUUCCUGCUGGCUCCAUUCUUUCCCCAUAAACCUAUGCCUGCAAAUUACAAAUGCUGUGUUGCUAAAUUCUGGCUUUAUACCUAGAAAGUGCUGCAAAAUCCUGGCUGAGGUUGUGCUGAGUGCUCGGCGGCUGUUUUGGUGGCAGCUGUUUUCUCUGAGUCACCUGGAAACCAGCUGUUCUUUAGCUGCCUUCUCCUUGGUUAGAGGAUGCUCACUGGAGGCAAUUUCUGGGAUUUGUGAUUCAUUUGCAGGAGAUUGCUGGACAGAUCCUGCUUUUCCCAUAUGCUGGAAGGCCACCUCUGCAAACAGCUGUGCCAUUUGGAAAGGUGUGACAAUGCUCUUGCUUUUGAGGGUUUGAUUAAUCAAUAUAAUGUGAAUUUUGUUCAAAACUGUAUCGGUCCAACCUAAAUUUCAGUUAUCAACAGGAAUGUCUCUGCACACUUCACUAAGCUUUGAGUUAGAUUGUGCUAAAUUCAGCAUCUCUGUUUUCCCAGCAGAUGAUGGUUGGAAACAAAAUUCAUGUGUGUGCAGAGAGAUCAGAAAAACAAAAUCUAUACCACACUCAAGCAAUGAAUAAACUAUAUCUGAGUUAGGGAUGUGGUUUGAUUCAUCUGUCAUUUAGACUGGCUUGGUGUCAGUAUCUCCUGACCUCAGCCAAAUGAUUCUGGCAGUCCCCUGAAGAACAGGGACAAAACAAAGCUCCAGUAUCUUGAAAUAGCAUAACAUGAGUUAUUGUGAUGGAGCUUUUAAUAAUAUACAAGAGACAUACAGUAUCCAUGUUUGGAGUAAAAUAAGGAUGGCAUUUACUCUAAAAUGAAUGGCUGACUUGGAUCCUGGCCCUACAAGAGUGAAUGGCAAAAAAAAUCUCCAACAAAACAACUCCACUCAUAUUUUUUAAACUAAAAUUUUAACAGGAUUCUUUUUCCUGUGAGAGAUAUGAAGAGGUAUCUUUGCUUACAUUAUUUUAAGACCUUUUAAUAAAUCCACAUGAAUUGUCAGUAUAUUUAUCUGAUUUGAUUUUAUAUGAUGGGAAAAGGGGAAAUAAAUGUGUUUAACAGAGAAAACCAAGCAGACAUCUAAAAUGAUGAGAUUUUUCCCAGCAUUUGCUGUGAUCAUCUGAUUCUGCAUCCCUCUGCCCUCACUCUUGUGUUUCUGUGCCUCUGUUCUUUCUAGAUUUUAUCUGACUCUGAGACUCAGCUCCUGUCUCUGGAACAGAGAUAGCACACCUAGGUUACGGUAGUCUAAGUAAUGAAAAAUGGCCAUUAGUAAGAUUGCAGGAAAAGAAAAUUUUGAAAUGUUCUAGCUAUAUAGUAACUGCCACAGAGUGCUACACACAACACAAAUUACGCCAAGAAAUGGACAAACCUCCAUGGACCUUUCCAGUUUUUCCCAGUUUCUUGGGGUGUUUAUUUUUUUGUUUUCCUUUAAAUUUCAUCAGUCCAUAUAAUGGAAGAGAUAUAUGCUGUCUAAAUAAUACAAUAAGUGUCUAAAUAUUUCUAGUACCAGGGGAUAAGGAGACAUUUUAAACACUUGAUUGCAGUAAGAAGCUGAAUACAGGAGCCAACACAGGUACCAUUCCUCAAUCCUCCUGGGUUAAGGAGAGGGACAAAUACUAAUACAAUGAAAAGUAAGCACAACCCCUACAAAAGCUGGAUCAACCCUUCUCCCAGGGCACUGCAAUCAGCAAUUCCUGAUGAAAGAUGUUAAACAGGAAAAUAUUUCCACAUGGCUUUGUGGACAGGUCUGCCCCUUCCCUGGGCUCAGUUCCACGAGUGAGAAAUGGGCUGGUGUCCUGCUGUCCCUGCCCGCCUGCCCUCCCUGGUGUGGGGCACUUCAAAACACUGCUCCUGGUAAGGAGGUGAGGCAAAGGAGGUGGGAGAGAAGGGAGAGCUUGUUCUUAAGGGAAAAGGAUUCUUCCAGUGGUAGAAACCAAUUGUCACAGAUGGGUAGAUACUCAGCUACUGCCUGCUUUCAGAAUGGUUUCUGCUCUCCAACACCUCCUGUUGCUUUUUUCCUCUACAUCAGCAAGGAUCGACUUUCUGUAACAGGGAUUUAUUCUGGAGAAAAGGCAGAAGCUGAAGGCCUUGCAGAAAACAUCAGAACUACUUCUGAAUAAAGUGCCACUGUGACCACACUCUGAUACCACACAAACACGGAACUAACACUGCUCCUGUAAAGAUUGUGGGAUUUGUCUUGUCUUUGUUGAACCUUAGGCUGCUGUUUCAUAUUCUAAUAGAAAUUAAAGAGCUAAUUACAUACAAUUUAGACUACACAUGAGGGACACAGGCUCAGCUUCCAGCUGAGCUGGGAAAAUUUUAAUUGUUUAGUUAGAAAAGCAAUCUAUUUGGAGACGUGCGAAACAACUUCUGAUUCUAGGUUAAAAGUCAUCAGAGCAAUUUAUGAUCUUACAACUAUUAAUUUCUUAACUUAGAUCAAGGAAUAGCAACUGUAAGGAAAAGGCAGUGACUGUGUAGAUUAAAUCAUUAGACCCACAGUCAGCAGAACUAAUGUCCAUUAACCCAAGUGGCAGCAUUAACACCCUUCUUCCUGGCACGGACCCACGGCCUCCCCCUAAUCUGCUUUUCUGGAAGAACACCUGGCUACAACAGAGUGAGACAAUUCCAAGAAAAAACAACCAAACAAACUAAGCAGAAAGGCAGCAUCCAUCUUAUUUGGCUAUGGGAUUUUCCACAGUGAUAUGGAGUCCAUCAGUGAUGGGCACAAGGGGAGAGUGUCCCGCCCUUCCCACCGGACUGCUCAGGACACUAAGGAUCGCAAAACCACUUUAUUAGGAAAGGACUGUGGGAAACUGCAGGGCAGAAGGAAGGAAAAGCACUAGUUUUCUGGCCAGCAUCAAUGUCACCUGCCUCUUCUCUCCUGCCUGGUCAAGUCACCCAAAAACCUGACAGACAGCUUCCAGCAGAGACUGGCUGUAGUGCCACUGGCAACCAAAGGACAUUAUUACACUGAAGAAAAAAAAAAAGAAGAAGCAGAGAAAUCUCAAAGGCAUUUUAUUUUUAUAAUGAUGAAGAAGUGUCCUCAUGUUCCAGUUAUGAAUGUGAACACACACAUUUUAGGGAUCUUUUAAUAAUAUUUACUCCUUAGCUAUUCUCAUUUCCCAAAAGUGCCCCUUUCUGGGUCUGCUACCAUCAGUUCUGUACAGUCCACAGUCAGCAAGGAAUGUCAUUUAAAAACUGCUAAUGUGUAGGAUUUAAGCAGCAUUUAUGUGGCUGACAGAUUCUGUCUUACUGUGCAGAAGGGAUAAGUAACAAAAACCAACAAUAAAUUAGAAACUUGCAACAACAGUGAGAUUUAACGAGAGCGCAUUCACAGAGAGCUGCCGAGGGCAAAUUAAACGAACCAGGAUGGAUUGCCAUCUGUUUUGGGCAGUGGCACUUGGCAAGGACCUAGGGCCAGAAGGGACUGGUGUUAUCUUUGCUGUCUAGGUCACCACACCAUGCUGCCUAGGAUAGGCUCAAGCCAGGGAUUCAAACAAAAUAGUUGCCUUCAACUUCUCCUCAUGCCAGAGCAGCACAAAGCAAAUACAUUUUGCAUAACCCUUGACAAGUUAUCUGCCAUAUUAAUCUGGUGAUUUGCUCAGUUGAGUCUCCAGAUUUAUCUGUUCUCUUUUAAUUGUGGCCAUGAUUCAGUCAUCGCAUCCAUUUUUGCUGAUAUCACUGAAAGUGUACCUCAUUUGUUCAGUAAUAUGCUCAUUUUAUUAAAAAGAUAAGGAAGCAAAUAUAAAAUGAAAGACAUUAAUAAACAUUGGACUGACUUAGUACAUCAAACCACCACAUGAGUACUCAUAAUUUAAGAAAAAUAACCACGUCAGUCACUGAAUUAAUAAUACAACUAAAGAUCUGGGCUCUAUUUUCUAGGGUCUAUACAAAUAUGUUAUAAAAAAAGAAAUACGCAGCCUCUGUUUUGAGGCAAAAAUAUUGGGUAACUCUUUCAACACCAAUCACUAAGAGAGAUUGCCUGAUAUAUUGGCAGAAAAUUCAAAAUUUCAGGUCCAAGAACAUCAUAAUACAGAAUAAAACACUUCUCCCCUUCAACCCUUCCACAGCCCUGACUGAACUGCCACUGAGCUUCACUGCUAGGGUGAAGAUCUGUUUGGUGAGAAGGGGCUGGGCAGGUCUAGAGCAAUGUGCUUUUGCCACUGUGCAGAAAACUGCUGGAGGACAUGAAGGUAAAGCACUCUGUGUCCCCUGUCCACCUGAAUGACAUGGGCUCAUGCUGCAUUUUAGCUGCAAGUGCAGUCUAUAGAUUAAUGGUACUGCUCAGACAGGGCAGUGGUGACUCUGGUCCCUCUGUUCUGUGGUGGGAUAGUAAAGCUGGAUCUUUCUGGGGUUUUUUUUCCUGAGUUCAGGUGCAAGGAAUACUCCUUGCCUAGAGUUUUCUAUUUCCUACCCAUCACAAAGAGGGCAGAGACAUGGAAAUCUUCAGGGUGAUGUUCCAUGACCUCUGAGGUCAUGUUAGAAUCUAUCAACAGCUCUCUUUGAAGAUAAACUGCUGGAGCUCUUGCCAGCACUACUUAAUAUGUACUCAUACAGUCCACUGACAAAGACCUGUCAGGGCAAUAAAAAUAAGAAUUCUGUCUUCAGUCUUUCCAGUUUCCCCAGCAUAAGUGUCAUAACACCAUAUUCAUCCUUCUCUCUUAAAUAGCAGCAAAGCUGUUCAAUGUGUCAGAGCUUUUGUUUCUUACUAGAGAAAGAAAAUUAUUGUAUUGGGGUGGAUUCUUUCAGUCCUUGUUACUACAGAGUUCAGAUACUGCCAUGGGAAGGGAAUAUUGCUACUGGGAAUAUUAUUUUUCUGGCCUCUUCUGGGCUCAAAAGUAAACAUGAAGCCUUUACUAGAUGCAUAUUUUCAAGGGACAUUUAUGUGGUACUUUAGAUCACAUAGAUACUGAGGUGAGAGGUGACUCUGCACAGGAGAGUGAAUCCUAUCUAACUCCAGCAUGUUUGGAUGUGAGAUCUUGAUUUUGCUCUUUGUAGAUGCAGAAAACAGCCCCUUCACCCAGCUUUACUGACCUCCAGCUCUAAACCACCAUGUGUCACAUUGCCUAAAACCACAAGGCUGAUCAAACACCAAGAUAUCAAUAAGCAGAGAAUUGCACCCUUGCUGCCUUCUGAGCCUCUGGAGAACAUUUAAGUUAUUUUGCAAACUUUUCUUCAUAUUCAAACAAAAGUCCAUAGAAAUACUUCCUUUAAACAAAAACAGCUUUUCACAUAAUCCUUAGAUUCCUGAGCUCUGUCUAGAAAAACACAUCCAAAUACCACAGGAGUCUGAAGAAAAGAAAAUAUGAGGAGUCAGAGCCAGCAACACUAGGAUUUUAAAUGAGAACAUGAAUUUCUCCGACAUGUGGGGAGAGUCAAAGAAAAGAGAAGGUGAGAACUGUGAUCAGGGCAGACAAGGGCAUUGCUGGAAAGGAAGAUGGACAAAGAAUUUGGCAGAAUUCAACUCACAGUCUGCCUCAGCUGAAGAAGAUAAAACUUGCCUUUUUCUUAGAGACCUGUUGUUAUGGUUUUAAAACUUUUUUUUUCCCCCAUCCAGCCUCCUGCCUAUCUUUCUACUGCAGAUUUAAAGAAAUAGGAGGAAGGUGCAUUGUGAGAUGAAGGACUGAAAAAAAUUGCAAAAAGCAGCAGUCCUUAUCAUUGUCUGCUCUCUUUCCCAGAUCCAUGAAGCAGGCUGUGAAGGAGCCGCUCUUUAGCCAUCCGCAGAGACGCUCCUGCUGCAGCCCGUGCCGUGUCUGGUGCCUCGCAGGGAGCAGGGUCCUGCUGUCCCAUUGCACAGGGCACACUGGGCAGCACGUCCCUCCUCAGGCUCUGUGGCAUGGCAGGGAGGAAGGCUGGCAAGGGAGCCAGGGAACAGAAUGCCAAGAGCAGGAAAAAGGAAGCAGGAAAACUACCAAGACAGACAGAGUGGAGGAGGCUGGAUGAGAAUUCAAACAGUCCCAGCCAAAAUGCGAAGCUGAAGCAGAACACUAUAUUUAACAGAACUGCUCAGUUGAAUGCUGCUGGAGAGCUCAAGUGUUGAAGGAUCACAGAAUUAGGGAGUAACUUUUAGGUUUAGUGCUCCUUAUCCCCUCUGCGAUGACCUUCACUGCUCACAUCCCAUUCAAAUGUAGGUAGGAACUUCCCCAGAUGGCAUCUUUGCACCUGUCAUUUCCUGGAGUGGUCAUACAUACCUAAUAAACCUUUUCAAAUAUUA
Zonotrichia albicollis (white-throated sparrow) is the source of this 13624-nucleotide non-coding RNA. The record is from RefSeq and is a predicted model, not a curated record. Lineage: Eukaryota; Metazoa; Chordata; Aves; Passeriformes; Passerellidae.